This 465-nucleotide ribosomal RNA is filed under the name uncultured bacterium. RNAcentral describes it as "partial 16S ribosomal RNA". It matches the Rfam family "Bacterial small subunit ribosomal RNA", at positions 338 to 795 of the family's 1533-position model. The record is from RNAcentral.
CCUACGGGGGGCAGCAGUGGGGAAUAUUGCGCAAUGGGCGAAAGCCUGACGCAGCGACGCCGCGUGAGGGAUGAAGGUCUUCGGAUCGUAAACCUCUGUCAGCAGGGAAGAACGGUCACUGUGCUAAUCAGCAGUGAAUUGACGGUACCUGCAAAGGAAGCACCGGCUAACUCCGUGCCAGCAGCCGCGGUAAUACGGAGGGUGCGAGCGUUAAUCGGAAUUACUGGGCGUAAAGCGCUCGUAGGCGGUAUGUCAAGUCAAGGGGGAAAUCCCCGCGCUAAACGUGGGAACUGCCUUUGAAACUGGCAAACUGGAGUGUGUGAGAGGAUAGUGGAAUUCGAGGUGUAGGAGUGAAAUCCGUAGAUAUCUGGAGGAACAUCAGUGGCGAAGGCGACUAUCUGGCACAUAACUGACGCUGAGGAGCGAAAGCGUGGGUAGCAAACAGGAUUAGAUACCCCUGUAGUC